UGGGGUAUAUUGGACAAUGGGCGAAAGCCUGAUCCAGCCAUGCCGCGUGUGUGAAGAAGGUCUUCGGAUUGUAAAGCACUUUAAGUUGGGAGGAAGGGCAGUAAGCGAUUACCUUGCUGUUUUGACGUUACCGACAGAAUAAGCACCGGCUAACUCUGUGCCAGCAGCCGCGGUAAUACAGAGGGUGCAAGCGUUAAUCGGAAUUACUGGGCGUAAAGCGCGCGUAGGUGGUUCGUUAAGUUGAAUGUGAAAGCCCCGGGCUCAACCGGGGAAAUGAGUACAAAACGGGCGAGCUAGAGUAGGGCAGAGGGUGGGGGAAUUUCCUGUCGAGCGGUGAAAUGCGUAGAUAUAGGAAGGAACACCAGUGGCGAAGGCGACCACCUGGGCUCAUACUGACACUGAGGUGCGAAAGCGUGGGGAGCAAACAGG
This 429-nucleotide ribosomal RNA is filed under the name Pseudomonadota bacterium. RNAcentral describes it as "Proteobacteria bacterium partial 16S ribosomal RNA". It matches the Rfam family "Bacterial small subunit ribosomal RNA", at positions 355 to 776 of the family's 1533-position model. The record is from RNAcentral. Lineage: Bacteria; Pseudomonadati; Pseudomonadota.